CGAAUUGGUAGAACAGCGGUCUCCAAAACCGAUGGUUGGGGGUUCGAGUCCCUCCACCC
This 59-nucleotide transfer RNA is filed under the name Prymnesium neolepis. Its description in RNAcentral is "partial tRNA". RNAcentral also lists the same sequence under 1 other name. Lineage: Eukaryota; Haptophyta; Prymnesiales; Prymnesiaceae. The record is from RNAcentral.